Molecule: ribosomal RNA, 309 nt
Filed under: Triticum aestivum (bread wheat)
Lineage: Eukaryota; Viridiplantae; Streptophyta; Magnoliopsida; Poales; Poaceae
Description: partial small subunit ribosomal RNA
Source: RNAcentral
AUGUUAAAUGAGAUGUCAGCUAUAUCGCACACAAGUGAGGUCAUCUUCGAACUAGUGGAUGAAGCAAUUGAGGAAGUAGGUCCUGAACAUGUGGUGCAAGUAGUGACUGAUAAUGCUUCUAAUAACAUGGGAGCAAAGAAGAUGUUGUUGGAGAAGAGGCCAAACAUGUUCUGGAGCUCUUGUGCGAUGCACACGAUUAACUUGAUGUUCCAAGGGAUUGGCAAUCUACCAAGGUUUCGUAAGGUGUAUGAAAAAACGAACCAUUCACUAUCUUUGUCUAUGGGAAAACACGGACCUUGGACGACAUGA